Long non-coding RNA from Balaenoptera ricei (Rice's whale), 3449 nucleotides. RefSeq lists it as uncharacterized. NCBI's taxonomy places the organism in Eukaryota, Metazoa, Chordata, Mammalia, Artiodactyla, Balaenopteridae. The transcript has 4 exons. The record is from RefSeq and is a predicted model, not a curated record.
UCUUUCUUUCGAACACCUUCUUUCUGCGAUGCCCAGGGUUCCCCCUCAGGAAGAGUAACAGACAGCUUGUCCACUAUGGGAGUGUGCCUGAGGCUGCAGGCACUGACGGUGUGGAUGGAGAGAAUACACACGGGCGGCCCCGGCGAGGGUAAGGAUGCCGAAAACUUGAUCUUAACAACACAGUGUUCCUGUGUCUUGGAUGCUUUCCUGCCCACCUGCUCUCAUGCAGUUCCACCUCCUCCAAAGCCACCCGCCUCCCCCCUCGACCCUCUGCCUCUCGUCUCAGGGCCUGGACAUCAGGUGUACAGUUUGACUUUUCAUCUCAAGAUUGCCCAACAGCAAACACGGUGCAGGUCUCUGCAGCCGGGUCACCCCACUUCCUCAGCGGGACCAUCUUCCCCGCACAGGACAACCCAUCACCCGCAUCCUGAGCAGUGGGCCCGGUGAGCACCGGAAGACAAAGCCCUGCAUCUCCCUGCUUGGUCUCCUGGCCCUCCCCUCUCAGGCCUCAGUAUCCCCCCAGGGCCUGGCACUGAGCAGGCACUCAGAGACAGGGUGGGUGAACAAACCUUGAUUCCUUGUAUCUCCGAAGAAAUCCUUGAGCCCCUUCAGCGUCACCGCAGCACCCUGGGGGCUGCUUCAAGGUGGCCAGGCCACAGGAGGAGAGGUUCUGACAUCCAUACCCAACUCCACCCCCUCUGCUUCCUCCAAAUUUCCCAAAGGACGGAGUAACCCCCAACACCCACCUUCCUCCUGGGGCCACCACUCAGGCCUCAGGAGUCUGCAUCUCGAGCUGAGCUCACCUGAGCAGGUGUCGCCCUCCCUCUGCACUGUUUCGGGGCGGGAGGAAGCAGUCAGACAAACCUGCCUCCAAAUCCAGACUCUGCCCCUGCUUAGCCUGCCACCUCGGGCCCAUGACCUCAUCUCUCUGAGCUUCGAUCUCCCUUCUUCUGUAAAUCAGUGACAGUCAUACUUUUCUCAGACAGUUGUCCUGAGGAUGGGUGGGGAUCCUACACCCCCCUGCUUACCCAGGAAUCAUCCUCUGGCCGAGUGUGAACAAGAUCCAGUUGUUCUCAGCCGUGAAGAUGCAGCCACUAGCUGUGCGUCUCUGCAAUAACCACACACACCCUCUGGGCCCAGAUAUACCCGGAGAAGCAAAAUGGAAAGUGAAAGCCCUCAACCUCUGAGUCACUCAGGUCAAACAAACACUCUGCCUACUAGGCCUCACCCUGGGCUAUUCUCACCCUGAUGCUGAUCCCCUUAGAGAAACAAGUCCAGCCCUGACAUUCCAGGUCCUACUGGGCUCAGCACAUCUUGCCUCGGGCUCCUUGAAGGAAGACCUUCCACCAACAGACUGUGAGGCCCUUGGAGGAGUGAUGGGUGUUAUCCCAUGACGACCACACACACUGUAAGUCUGUUCUUACAAUCACCUGUAACAUAUGCCAGGUAUAUAAUGUGAUUUUGCAGAUAAGGAAUCUGAGGGGAGGGGAGAGGCCGGAGCUUUCUUCCACCAAAUCAGGGGAGGGCCAAAGAUUCAAACCAAGGUUGACAUUUGACAUUUGACACUUGCAAACACUGCUCCUUGCUUAAAGUUAUUUUUUGUCAUUGUUUUCUGUAAACUUCCUUCCUCCUGAUUCUUUUCCCUUUCACUAGCAUGACUUUAGCCAGACAAAACCACUGUGAGAUGCAGAACUGGAUUAAACAUCCAUAUGAGCUGCAGCCAGGUUGACAUAAAAUGUCCUCUGAUGAGAAUGCAGAAUGGUCACCGAACAUUAGAGGCCUCCAUAAAGACAGGCUCAUGGUAGAGCAACUAGACGGGGGCUGUAGACUCAAAUCGAGGUGAGGAUUAAGCAUCUCUUCACUCCAUGGUCAUAAGCUGAGACCACCCCAUUUGGAGACCCUAAAGAUCUAGUGACUAUAAAAUCGGCCUCAAUGUGACCCCCAACAUCACAAGAGAAGUCCCCCAGGAUGGCUACAGCUCCAGAGUCGAGGCCUUGGCUGAAAGCUUUGGUCCACAGCAAUUUCAGCCCACGGUGAUGGCGAUACCAACUCAGGGAGGAAGUAACCAGAAAACUCCUUAGGAAGGUGCCUGGCAGAGGUCACCAGCGUCACCUGGUGGAGUCUGGAAAGGUCAGCAGCCAGAGGCACGGGGCCACGGCCCCCGCGAGCCCUGCUCACCCAAUCUCUCUAUACCCGGGGGGAGGUGCGGAUGGUUCCCACAUGCUGGACAUCAGGAGGUGUGUGUCUAAAACCGCGACCCCCCUGCCCAUUGUCCUUUCUUAUAGGGACAGUGAGAGUGGAUAGGGAGCUUUAGACUGAGCGUGUGACCAUGGGGGCUUUUGGGUCCUCCGAGUGGCUGGCAGAGACGGGCACCAGGUGCGGAGCACAGGGGAUCACACUCCUUGCAGACAGCACCUGGUGACCUCAGGGGAACUGGUCUCGGCCUCUGGCUGCCAGGCCGCCAGCAUCAUCCACUGGACAAUCCUACUGGUCUUUCCUCAGGCGGGAAAAUUGGGCCCUGAGGGAUUUAGCAGUUGUCAGCCUCUGGAAGGUUAAGAACUAAGUAUAAAGAUGACCAAUAAAAUCAAGCCCACUCUUUUAAUAUUUUUAUGUUGAAAUCAAGACAAGUGUGUUUCAUUUUAACGUACGUAUUGUCAACUACAAAUUGGCACCUGCCGUUGGCACUUGCCAUCUGCCUCUACAAGGUUUAAAUCAUGAGCUGCUGCAGCUGCUGACCUUCCACACCCCCUGAAAGGAGUCCAGGGUGGAGAUCGGGAAUGAGGCCCUCUGUGCUCUGGGAAAAACUGGCAGAACAGAGAGUUAGGUAUUUUCAGGAGAAGAUUUUAUGAGCCCAAUCCUUGCAUCUCCUCGUACCUAGAACAGCACUAAAAUCCUUCAUGGUGACAUGGGGGGCUCGUGACUAGCAGUAACCUUCAUGAGACUAGCAGAAACCUUCUGUAAAAAAUAUGAGCUUGAUUGUAUGCACUCUCCCUUCACUAAAAUCACAUAUAUACUGACCUUCCCCCCGCCUCUUUGGAGCAGUUUCUCAGAGCUAUCUGAAAUGCUGUCUCCUGGGCUGCAGUCCUCAUUUCACCCCAGAUGAAACUUAACUCACAGGUCUCACGUUGUGCCUUUUUUUCAGUCGACAGUAUAAUGUUUAAGAGAAUUGGACACAUUCUCAGAGUUAACAACAGAUUUUGGAUCCUAAUUUAAAACAGUGGUUAAGAACCUGCCUGCCAAUGCAGGGGACACGCGUUCGAGCCCUGGUCUGGGAAGAUCCCACAUGCCGCGGAGCAACUAAGACCGUGCGCUCUAGAGCCCGCGAGCCACAACUACUGAGCCCGCAUGCCACAACUACUGAGCCUGCGUGCCGCAACUACUGAAGCCUGCGCACCCUGGAGCCCGUGCUCCGCAACAAGAGAAGCCACCGCAAUGAGAAGCCCGUGCGC